Molecule: ribosomal RNA, 322 nt
Filed under: Clostridioides difficile
Lineage: Bacteria; Bacillati; Bacillota; Clostridia; Peptostreptococcales; Peptostreptococcaceae
Description: partial 23S ribosomal RNA
Rfam family: Bacterial large subunit ribosomal RNA
Source: RNAcentral
CCUGUACUACCGAUAACCGUUUGAGAGAUGGGAUGACACAGUAGGAUAAGCUAAGCACACUGUUGGUUAUGUGUGCCCAAGCAUUGAGGCAGUCAAAGUAGGCAAAUCCGCUUUGAUAAUGCUGGGAUGUGAUGGGGAGCGAAAUUUAGUAGCGAAGUAGCUGAUUUCACACUGUCAAGAAAAGUCUCUAUCGAGGUUAAAGGUACCCGUACCGCAAACCGACACAGGUGGGUGAGGAGAGUAUCCUAAGGCCAGCGAGAGAACUGUUGUUAAGGAACUCGGCAAAAUGACCCCGUAACUUAGGGAUAAGGGGUGCCACCAU